This 109-nucleotide non-coding RNA is filed under the name Candidatus Zhuqueibacterota. RNAcentral's name for it is "Candidate division TPP sequence". It matches the Rfam family "TPP riboswitch aptamer (THI element)". From Rfam's summary of the family: Vitamin B(1) in its active form thiamin pyrophosphate (TPP) is an essential coenzyme that is synthesised by coupling of pyrimidine and thiazole moieties in bacteria. The previously detected thiamin-regulatory element, thi box was extended, resulting in a new, highly conserved RNA secondary structure, the THI element, which is widely distributed in eubacteria and also occurs in some archaea. The record is from RNAcentral. Lineage: Bacteria; Pseudomonadati.
AUAUAUAAUCAGGGGUGGUUGUCCUCAUCUGAGACGGGGAUAGCCUGAGAUAAUACCCUCAGUACCUGAUCUGGGUAAUGCCAGCGUAGGGAAAAGGAAAAUGUUCACU